This 339-nucleotide ribosomal RNA is filed under the name Drosophila ananassae. RNAcentral describes it as "28S ribosomal RNA, D2 domain". The record is from RNAcentral. Lineage: Eukaryota; Metazoa; Arthropoda; Insecta; Diptera; Drosophilidae.
CCCGAAGUAUCCUGAAUCUUUCGCAUUGUUAAUCAUACAAGUGCUUAUAAUAAACACAAAAAUCAAUGAUAAUUAUGCCAUUAUAUAAUUCCGAAAAAUUAACGCACUGUAUUCUUAUUAGUCUAUCAACACUUUAUCAAAUUAAUGACAUUUAUUCUAUGUUAAAAUGCAAGCAUAAUAAUUUGAAUAAACUAUAAGCCAUAUUUUAUGAUAAAUUUAAUAUGUUAAUAGAUUACAAUGUCCUUAUAUGGAAAAAAUGCACAUUAUUUGUAUAAUAUUGUUUAAAUAUUAUAACUUUAAUGAUGAAUUUUCCAUAACGGAUAUUCAGGUUCAUCGGGC